This 484-nucleotide ribosomal RNA is filed under the name uncultured bacterium. Its description in RNAcentral is "partial 16S ribosomal RNA". It matches the Rfam family "Bacterial small subunit ribosomal RNA", at positions 30 to 507 of the family's 1533-position model. The record is from RNAcentral.
AUUGAACGCUGGCGGAAUGCUUUACACAUGCCAGUCGAACGGCAGCACGGGGGCAGCCCUGGUGGCGAGUGGCGAACGGGUGAGUAAUACAUCGGAACGUGCCCGGUCGUGGGGGAUAACGUAGCGAAAGUUACGCUAAUACCGCAUACGAUCUGAGGAUGAAAGCGGGGGACCUUCGGGCCUCGCGCGAUCGGAGCGGCCGAUGUCAGAUUAGGUAGUUGGUGGGGCAAAGGCCUACCAAGCCGACGAUCUGUAGCUGGUCUGAGAGGACGACCAGCCACACUGGGACUGAGACACGGCCCAGACUCCUACGGGAGGCAGCAGUGGGGAAUUUUGGACAAUGGGCGCAAGCCUGAUCCAGCCAUUCCGCGUGCAGGACGAAGGCCUUCGGGUUGUAAACUGCUUUUGUACGGAACGAAAAGGCUCUGGCUAAUACCUGGGGCUCAUGACGGUACCGUAAGAAUAAGCACCGGCUAACUACGUG